GAUGAACGCUGGCGGCGUGCCUAAUACAUGCAAGUCGAGCGAACAGACGAGGAGCUUGCUCCUCUGACGUUAGCGGCGGACGGGUGAGUAACACGUGGAUAACCUACCUAUAAGACUGGGAUAACUUCGGGAAACCGGAGCUAAUACCGGAUAAUAUAUUGAACCGCAUGGUUCAAUAGUGAAAGACGGUUUUGCUGUCACUUAUAGAUGGAUCCGCGCCGCAUUAGCUAGUUGGUAAGGUAACGGCUUACCAAGGCAACGAUGCGUAGCCGACCUGAGAGGGUGAUCGGCCACACUGGAACUGAGACACGGUCCAGACUCCUACGGGAGGCAGCAGUAGGGAAUCAUCCGCAAUGGGCGAAAGCUUGACGGAGCAACGCCGCGUGAGUGAUGAAGGUCUUCGGAUCGUAAAACUCUGUUAUUAGGGAAGAACAAAUGUGUAAGUAACUAUGCACGUCUUGACGGUACCUAAUCAGAAAGCCACGGCUAACUACGUG
RNAcentral lists this ribosomal RNA (497 nucleotides) under uncultured bacterium. RNAcentral's name for it is "partial 16S ribosomal RNA". It matches the Rfam family "Bacterial small subunit ribosomal RNA", at positions 28 to 507 of the family's 1533-position model. The record is from RNAcentral.